Molecule: ribosomal RNA, 699 nt
Filed under: Mucor racemosus f. racemosus
Lineage: Eukaryota; Fungi; Mucoromycota; Mucoromycetes; Mucorales; Mucoraceae
Description: eukaryotic LSU rRNA
Rfam family: Eukaryotic large subunit ribosomal RNA
Source: RNAcentral
AUCAAUAAGCGGAGGAAAAGAAAAUAACAAUGAUUUCCCUAGUAACGGCGAGUGAAGAGGAAAGAGCUCAAAGUUGGAACCUGUUUGGCUUAGCUAAACCGGAUUGUAAACUGUAGAAACAUUUUCCAGAUACACUAGACAAAAAAGUCCUUUGGAACAGGGCAUCAUAGAGGGUGAGAAUCCCGUCUUUGGUCUAAGUAGUUGUCUAUUGUGAUAUGUUUUCAAAGAGUCAGGUUGUUUGGGAAUGCAGCCUAAAUUGGGUGGUAAAUCUCACCUAAAGCUAAAUAUUUGCGAGAGACCGAUAGCGAACAAGUACCGUGAGGGAAAGAUGAAAAGAACUUUGAAAAGAGAGUUAAACAGUAUGUGAAAUUGUUAAAAGGGAACCGUUUGGAGCCAGAUUGGCUUGAUUGUAAUCAACCUAGAAUUCGUUUUGGGUGCACUUGCAGUCUAUGCCUGCCAACGACAGUUUGAUUUGGAGGAAAAAAUUAAUAGGAAUGUGGCCUUUCGAGGUGUUAUAGCCUAUUAUCAUACUCUGGAUUGGACUGAGGAACGCAGUGAAUGCCUUUAGGCAAGAUUGCUGGGCGCUUUCGCUAAUAAAUGUUAGAAUUUCUGCUUCGGGUGGUGCUAAUGUUUAAAGGAGGAACUCGUUUAGUAUAUUUUUUAUUCGCUUAGGUUGUUGGCUUAAUGACUCUAAAUGAC